Molecule: ribosomal RNA, 436 nt
Filed under: Salmonella enterica
Lineage: Bacteria; Pseudomonadati; Pseudomonadota; Gammaproteobacteria; Enterobacterales; Enterobacteriaceae
Also listed under: 1 other name
Description: bacterial SSU rRNA
Rfam family: Bacterial small subunit ribosomal RNA
Source: RNAcentral
AAAUUGAAGAGUUUGAUCAUGGCUCAGAUUGAACGCUGGCGGCAGGCCUAACACAUGCAAGUCGAACGGUAGCACAGAGAGCUUGCUCUCGGGUGACGAGUGGCGGACGGGUGAGUAAUGUCUGGGAAACUGCCUGAUGGAGGGGGAUAACUACUGGAAACGGUGGCUAAUACCGCAUAACGUCGCAAGACCAAAGAGGGGGACCUUCGGGCCUCUUGCCAUCAGAUGUGCCCAGAUGGGAUUAGCUAGUUGGUGAGGUAACGGCUCACCAAGGCGACGAUCCCUAGCUGGUCUGAGAGGAUGACCAGCCACACUGGAACUGAGACACGGUCCAGACUCCUACGGGAGGCAGCAGUGGGGAAUAUUGCACAAUGGGCGCAAGCCUGAUGCAGCCAUGCCGCGUGUAUGAAGAAGGCCUUCGGGUUGUAAAGUACUU